This 1060-nucleotide ribosomal RNA is filed under the name uncultured bacterium. RNAcentral describes it as "bacterial SSU rRNA". It matches the Rfam family "Bacterial small subunit ribosomal RNA", at positions 302 to 1387 of the family's 1533-position model. The record is from RNAcentral.
GAACGGCCACAUUGGGACUGAGACACGGCCCAGACUCCUACGGGAGGCAGCAGUGGGGAAUAUUGCACAAUGGGGGAAACCCUGAUGCAGCGACGCCGCGUGGAGGAAGAAGGUCUUCGGAUUGUAAACUCCUGUUGUUGAGGAAGAUAAUGACGGUACUCAACAAGGAAGUGACGGCUAACUACGUGCCAGCAGCCGCGGUAAAACGUAGGUCACAAGCGUUGUCCGGAAUUACUGGGUGUAAAGGGAGCGCAGGCGGGAGAACAAGUUGGAAGUGAAAUCCAUGGGCUCAACCCAUGAACUGCUUUCAAAACUGUUUUUCUUGAGUAGUGCAGAGGUAGGCGGAAUUCCCGGUGUAGCGGUGGAAUGCGUAGAUAUCGGGAGGAACACCAGUGGCGAAGGCGGCCUACUGGGCACCAACUGACGCUGAGGCUCGAAAGUGUGGGUAGCAAACAGGAUUAGAUACCCUGGUAGUCCACACCGUAAACGAAGAUUAUUAGUGGUUGGAGGAUUGACCCCUUCAGGGCCGCAGUUAACCCAAUAAGUAAUCCACCUGGGGAGUACGACCGCAAGGUUGAAACUCAAAGGAAUUGACGGGGGCCCGCACAAGCAGUGGAGUAUGUGGUUUAAUUUGACGCAACGCGAAGAACCUUACCAAGUCUUGACAUCCCUCGACGAUGCUGGAAACAGUAUUUCUCUUCGGAGCAAGGAGACAGGUGGUGCAUGGUUGUCGUCAGCUCGUGUCGUGAGAUGUUGGGUUAAGUCCCGCAACGAGCGCAACCCUUAUGGUCAGUUACUACGCAAGAGGACUCUGGCCAGACUGCCGUUGACAAAACGGAGGAAGGUGGGGAUGACGUCAAAUCAUCAUGCCCUUUAUGACUUGGGCUACACACGUACUACAAUGGCGUUAAACAAAGAGAAGCAAGACCGCGAGGUGGAGCAAAACUCAGAAACAACGUCCCAGUUCGGACUGCAGGCUGCAACUCGCCUGCACGAAGUCGGAAUUGCUAGUAAUCGUGGAUCAGCAUGCCACGGUGAAUACGAUCCCGGGCCUUGCACU